UCCAGAAGCAAUCCUGAAGACACCAUGGCCAAGCUCAUUCUUGUCACAGGUCUGGCAAUUCUUCUGAAUGUACAGCUGGGAUCUUCCUACCAGCUGAUGUGCUACUAUACCAGUCGGGCUAAGGACAGGCCAAGAGAAGGGAGUUUCAAACCUGGUAAUAUUGACCCCUGCCUGUGUACUCACCUGAUCUAUGCCUUUGCUGGGAUGGAGAAUAAUGAGAUCACUUACGCA
This is a non-coding RNA of Mus caroli (Ryukyu mouse), 231 nucleotides long. NCBI's taxonomy places the organism in Eukaryota, Metazoa, Chordata, Mammalia, Rodentia, Muridae. The record is from RefSeq and is a predicted model, not a curated record.